GAAAAUCCUUGAAGCUGCAACGCUACUUUUCUGCAUCUGCACCUGCACCAAGAUGCGAUAACAUGUACAGAUGAACCAAAUACACAGUUGUACUGUCAUGCCCAGUUAGCCACUGGACUUGAUUUGUUGAACAAUUAUUUGUACUCGCUUUAUCGCGUACUGGUGCAGUGCCUAUGCAGACAUGUAGUGUUGUAGCUGGAUGCAGAUC
This 208-nucleotide microRNA precursor is filed under the name Physcomitrium patens. RNAcentral's name for it is "Physcomitrella patens miR1030e stem-loop (ppt-MIR1030e)". The record is from miRBase by way of RNAcentral. Lineage: Eukaryota; Viridiplantae; Streptophyta; Bryopsida; Funariales; Funariaceae.